This 212-nucleotide long non-coding RNA is filed under the name Elaeis guineensis (African oil palm). Its description in RNAcentral is "long non-coding RNA (EGUI_LNC013685)". Lineage: Eukaryota; Viridiplantae; Streptophyta; Magnoliopsida; Arecales; Arecaceae. The record is from RNAcentral.
UAUCAUCAACAUCGUGCACAGUGUUUUUUUUGAGUGGAAUCAUGCACAGUAUCAAACUAUAAAUUCUUUGGUGUGUGGUUAUGUCAUGCGGUUUCCAGCUUGACAUCAAAGAAAGUAUUUGGGGAAGGAGGACCCACAUACUUUCUCGGCAAGCAUGAAACAUUAGGAACUUGUUUGGUGUGAUAGGGUCUCAAAGUUCCCAAAGGAUGCUA